CCUACGGGAGGCAGCAGUAAGGAAUCUUCCGCAAUGGGCGAAAGCCUGACGGAGCAACGCCGCGUGGGCGAUGAAGGCCUUCGGGUCGUAAAGCCCUUUUCUGUGGGACGAUAAUGACGGUACCACAGGAAUAAGCCACGGCUAACUACGUGCCAGCAGCCGCGGUAAUACGUAGGUGGCUAGCGUUAUCCGGAUUCACUGGGCGUAAAGAGCGCGUAGGCGGUGUGCUAAGUUGGACGUGAAAGCCCCCGGCUUAACCGGGGGAGGUCGUCCAAUACUGGUGCACUUGAGGGUGGACGGGGAAAGCGGAAUUCCCGGUGUAGUGGUGAAAUGCGUAGAUAUCAGGAAGAACACCGGUUGCGAAGGCGGUCACCUGGCCCGUUACUGACGCUCAGGGACGAAAGCGUGGGGAGCAAACAGGAUUAGAUCCCCUGGUAGU
This 439-nucleotide ribosomal RNA is filed under the name uncultured bacterium. Its description in RNAcentral is "partial 16S ribosomal RNA". It matches the Rfam family "Bacterial small subunit ribosomal RNA", at positions 338 to 794 of the family's 1533-position model. The record is from RNAcentral.